GAUGAACGCUGGCGGCGUGCCUAAUACAUGCAAGUCGAGCGAACAGACGAGGAGCUUGCUCCUCUGACGUUAGCGGCGGACGGGUGAGUAACACGUGGAUCACCUACCUAUAAGACUGGGAUAACUUCGGGAAACCGGCGCUAAUACCGGAUAAUAUAUUGAACCGCAUGGUUCAAUAGUGAAAGACGGUUUUGCUGUCACUUAUAGAUGGAUCCGCGCCGCAUUAGCUAGUUGGUAAGGUAACGGCUUACCAAGGCAACGAUGCGUAGCCGACCUGAGAGGGUGAUCGGCCACACUGGAACUGAGACACGGUCCAGACUCCUACGGGAGGCAGCAGUAGGGAAUCUUCCGCAAUGGGCGAAAGCCUGACGGAGCAACGCCGCGUGAGUGAUGAAGGUCUUCGGAUCGUAAAACUCUGUUAUUAGGGAAGAACAAAUGUGUAAGUAACUAUGCACGUCUUGACGGUACCUAAUCAGAAAGCCACGGCUAACUACGUG
RNAcentral lists this ribosomal RNA (497 nucleotides) under uncultured bacterium. Its description in RNAcentral is "partial 16S ribosomal RNA". It matches the Rfam family "Bacterial small subunit ribosomal RNA", at positions 28 to 507 of the family's 1533-position model. The record is from RNAcentral.